Molecule: ribosomal RNA, 458 nt
Filed under: Mycosphaerella mycopappi
Lineage: Eukaryota; Fungi; Ascomycota; Dothideomycetes; Mycosphaerellales; Mycosphaerellaceae
Description: LSU rRNA
Rfam family: Eukaryotic large subunit ribosomal RNA
Source: RNAcentral
GGAUUGCCUCAGUAACGGCGAGUGAAGCGGCAAUAGCUCAAAUUUGAAAUCUGGCCCUUUCAGGGUCCGAGUUGUAAUUUGCAGAGGGCGCUUUGGAGUCGGCAGCAGCCUAAGUUCCUUGGAACAGGUCAUCAUAGAGGGUGAGAAUCCCGUAUGUGGCUGCUUGCCUUCGCCGUGUAAAGCCCCUUCGAUGAGUCGAGUUGUUUGGGAAUGCAGCUCUAAAUGGGAGGUAAAUUUCUUCUAAAGCUAAAUAUUGGCCAGAGACCGAUAGCGCACAAGUAGAGUGAUCGAAAGAUGAAAAGCACUUUGGAAAGAGAGUCAAAAAGCACGUGAAAUUGUUGAAAGGGAAGCGCUUGCAGCCAGACGUGCCCGUAGUUGCUCAUCUGGGGUUCUCCCCAGUGCACUCUUCUAUGGGCAGGCCAGCAUCAGUCCGGGCGGUUGGAGAAAGACCUGUGUCA